Long non-coding RNA from Ctenopharyngodon idella (grass carp), 1560 nucleotides. RefSeq lists it as uncharacterized. The record is from RefSeq and is a predicted model, not a curated record. The transcript is spliced from 3 exons. Lineage: Eukaryota; Metazoa; Chordata; Actinopteri; Cypriniformes; Xenocyprididae.
CACAUACUGAUCUGGCAUGUAUACUACAUCGUUUCAGUCGGUUUCAGUGGUUUCGUGUGUACGCAGAUAUUUCUUAAGAUGAGGGGAAAAAAAAGAUUGGAUAGGGAAAGCUCUGGCUUCGUGUGGAUGUGGCCUGACUGAAUAUUUAAUAAUUUAUGAGAAAGAGGAUGUGAUGGGGUCGGGACAUGUGAGUUAACUAUAUAUCCAGUUUGCCAUGUUGUUAAAAAUGAUUCUCAUAUCAUUUCAGGUGCAUGCAAAGAGCACACGCAAGCAGAACUGCCACCGCACUUUUUUUUAAUGGACAUUUUGCGAUCUUCUUUCGUGUGGUCAGAUGGGGGUAAGUUAUUUACUUCGACAGUCUUGAAAUAUGUAAAGGAAAAUGGUGUAAUAGUAAUAUAAACACUGUGAAAUGAACCGCAAAAUGGCCGCUAAAUGAACAUGUCUCUUUCAGAGUGAAGGAGUUUACUGUACGGCAGUAAAGUGAGUUUAACGUUUGACAUUCGUUAGACAUUCGGUUUCAUACCCAUUAAACUCAAUGUGCAUUUCAUGUUUUCAGCCCAUACCAAUUUAGACACACAUAAACAAACACCCUUUUCAUAGCACAAGCCUUAAUUUUAAGAAAUAAAAUAUAUCUAUUAGCCUUAUUAAUAAAUUAAACAACUGAACUAUAUGACAUUAUUAUAUCAAACUAAUAUUUGAUGUAGUGGAUAUUAGAUAUUAAUAUUUAAGUAGUUAAAAUGUGCUCUAGGCCAGUGAUUCCCAAACACAUUCCUGGAGCCUCCCCAACACUGCAUGUUUUCCAUGUCUCCUUAAUCAAACACACCUGAUUCAGAUCAUCAGCUCAUUAGUCGAGACUCCAAGACCUGAAAUGGGAAAUGUCAAAAGUUCAGAACUGUGUAAACUACUUUGUUUUAUUUUUUAUUUUAGGUUAUCAAUGCAUACUUGACCCACCUCACUAAAAAACUAUGCAGGCAAGACAUAUGUUAUUGAUUCAGAAUGCAUUUUGGAAAGUCACUGCUUGUUCAAUGAAAAAGUAAAAGAAAAAAAGUAACAAACAAAUGUUUCAUUUUAUUGGAGAACUGGUGAACUGUUACAAUUUUUCAUGCAUCUCUACUGUAGAUGGAUCCAGAGGCAUGAUGUGCUUAUAUGGUCACUAAAUGAGAAUAACCGCUGGACACUCAUGGUGAUAUGUCCUAAAGAAUGGAAAAUGUUAUACCUUUGAAAACCAAAGAAGACUGGUUCACUGUAAACAGGCUGUAAGGUCAGGACAAAUAUGCCAUUCAUAUCCUCAUUUAUUAAUUGUUAGUCUGAUUAACUUGUAUUAACAUUUUGAAUAUUUUAAUCCAAACAAAGCAAAUUUAUAGCCACAAAAGGAAGACUCGGAAAAAUGGGAAUGUGGUACUUUACCACACCGUUUACAGCAGGAUGGCAAUUCAUGUGGAGUGUUUAUAUGUAAAUUUGCAGAAGCUGUCGUAUCAGGGGGUAGUUUGAUGUUUGACGACAUAGAUCUGAUUCACCAAGACAUAGUCCUGUGCCUGCUACAAGCAACAGGCGCUUAUA